GUUCAGACUCAGGAACUCAGCACAGGGAUGGUGGGGGCCCCUCAUAAUGGGCACAGCAGGUGUACAGACCCGGUAACUUGGCACAGGGAUGGCGGGAACCCCCCAUAAUGGGCACAGCAGGUGUAUAGACCCCGCAACUCAGCACAAGGAUAGUGGGAACCGUCAUAAUGGGCACAGCAGGUGUACAGAC
This is a long non-coding RNA of Nanorana parkeri, 190 nucleotides long. RefSeq lists it as uncharacterized. NCBI's taxonomy places the organism in Eukaryota, Metazoa, Chordata, Amphibia, Anura, Dicroglossidae. The record is from RefSeq and is a predicted model, not a curated record. The transcript has 3 exons.